GACGAACGCUGGCGGCGUGCUUAACACAUGCAAGUCGAACGGAAAGGCCCUGCUUUUGUGGGGUGCUCGAGUGGCGAACGGGUGAGUAACACGUGAGUAACCUGCCCUUGACUUUGGGAUAACUUCAGGAAACUGGGGCUAAUACCGGAUAGGAGCUCCUGCUGCAUGGUGGGGGUUGGAAAGUUUCGGCGGUUGGGGAUGGACUCGCGGCUUAUCAGCUUGUUGGUGGGGUAGUGGCUUACCAAGGCUUUGACGGGUAGCCGGCCUGAGAGGGUGACCGGCCACAUUGGGACUGAGAUACGGCCCAGACUCCUACGGGAGGCAGCAGUGGGGAAUAUUGCACAAUGGGCGGAAGCCUGAUGCAGCAACGCCGCGUGCGGGAUGACGGCCUUCGGGUUGUAAACCGCUUUCGCCUGUGACGAAGCGUGAGUGACGGUAAUGGGUAAAGAAGCACCGGCUAACUACGUGCCAGCAGCCGCGGUGAUACGUAGGGUGCGAGCGUUGUCCGGAUUUAUUGGGCGUAAAGGGCUCGUAGGUGGUUGAUCGCGUCGGAAGUGUAAUCUUGGGGCUUAACCCUGAGCGUGCUUUCGAUACGGGUUGACUUGAGGAAGGUAGGGGAGAAUGGAAUUCCUGGUGGAGCGGUGGAAUGCGCAGAUAUCAGGAGGAACACCAGUGGCGAAGGCGGUUCUCUGGGCCUUUCCUGACGCUGAGGAGCGAAAGCGUGGGGAGCGAACAGGCUUAGAUACCCUGGUAGUCCGCGCUGUAAACGGUGGGUACUAGGUGUGGGGUCCAUUCCACGGGUUCCGUGCCGUAGCUAACGCUUUAAGUACCCCGCCUGGGGAGUACGGCCGCAAGGCUAAAACUCAAAGGAAUUGACGGGGCCCCGCACAAGCGGCGGAGCAUGCGGAUUAAUUCGAUGCAACGCGUAGAACCUUACCUGGGUUUGACAUGGAUCGGGAGCGCUCAGAGAUGGGUGUGCCUCUUUUGGGGUCGGUUCACAGGUGGUGCAUGGCUGUCGUCAGCUCGUGUCGUGAGAUGUUGGGUUAAGUCCCGCAACGAGCGCAACCCUUGUUCACUGUUGCCAGCACGUUAUGGUGGGGACUCAGUGGAGACCGCCGGGGUCAACUCGGAGGAAGGUGGGGAUGACGUCAAGUCAUCAUGCCCCUUAUGUCCAGGGCUUCACGCAUGCUACAAUGGCUGGUACAGAGAGUGGCGAGCCUGUGAGGGUGAGCGAAUCUCGGAAAGCCGGUCUCAGUUCGGAUUGGGGUCUGCAACUCGACCUCAUGAAGUCGGAGUCGCUAGUAAUCGCAGAUCAGCAACGCUGCGGUGAAUACGUUCCCGGGGCU
RNAcentral lists this ribosomal RNA (1346 nucleotides) under uncultured bacterium. RNAcentral's name for it is "bacterial SSU rRNA". It matches the Rfam family "Bacterial small subunit ribosomal RNA", at positions 28 to 1381 of the family's 1533-position model. The record is from RNAcentral.